AAUUUUGGACAAUAGGCGCAAGCCUGAUCCAGCCAUACCUCGUGAGUGAAGAAGGCCUUCGGGUUGUAAAGCUCUUUCGGACCGAAAGAAAUCGCGCAGGCUAAUACCCUGCCCUGAGGACGGUACCGUCAUACAUAGCACCGGGUAACUAGGUGCCAGCAUCCGCGGUAAUACUGAGGGUGCGAGCGUUAAUCGGAAUUACUGGGCGUAAAGCGUGCGCAGGCGGUUGAUUAAGACAGGCGUGAAAUCCCCGGGCUUACCCUGGGAACUGCGCUUGUGACUGGUCAGAUAGAGUACGGCAGAGGAGGGUGGAAUUCCACGUGUAGCAGUGAAAUGCGUAGAGAUGUGGAGGAACACCGAUGGCGAAGGCAGCCACCUGGGCCGAUACUGACGCUCAUGCACGAAAGCGUGGGUAGCAAACAGG
Molecule: ribosomal RNA, 424 nt
Filed under: uncultured bacterium
Lineage: Bacteria
Description: partial 16S ribosomal RNA
Rfam family: Bacterial small subunit ribosomal RNA
Source: RNAcentral